This 74-nucleotide transfer RNA is filed under the name bacterium. Its description in RNAcentral is "tRNA-Arg". It matches the Rfam family "tRNA". Rfam says of the family: Transfer RNA (tRNA) molecules are approximately 80 nucleotides in length. RNAcentral also lists the same sequence under 2 other names. The record is from RNAcentral.
GCGCCUGUAGCUCAGUUGGAUAGAGUGUUUGGCUACGAACCAAAAGGUCGGGGGUUCGAAUCCCUCCAGGCGCG